AGCAAAAAACCCAGCUAACUUUACUGCUUUCCCUGCUGCAGUUGAUUCUGAAGUGAGGUAUGAAGUGUGCUUUUAAAUGUGCAGCUGACUUGCAUGCACAAGUGGAAUCUCUGAUUUAAAAGCUUGGCUUGCCCCAAGAUUUCGUCUUGGGUCAGAGGCAGCCCUUCUAGAAACAACUUGACUUUUUGGCUCCAUGUGGGCAGAAAAAGAAGUUCUAUAGCUUUGGGCAACUCAGACAUCCUCAGUUUGUCCCACAUGCACAGAAAUGGUGGUGAAGUGAUAUCAUCUCCAUUUGACAUACAAGGAAGGAGAGGA
Molecule: long non-coding RNA, 315 nt
Filed under: Apteryx owenii (little spotted kiwi)
Lineage: Eukaryota; Metazoa; Chordata; Aves; Apterygiformes; Apterygidae
Description: lncRNA (ENSAOWG00000017561.1)
Source: RNAcentral